This 497-nucleotide ribosomal RNA is filed under the name uncultured bacterium. Its description in RNAcentral is "bacterial SSU rRNA". It matches the Rfam family "Bacterial small subunit ribosomal RNA", at positions 28 to 573 of the family's 1533-position model. The record is from RNAcentral.
AGCUAACGCUGGCGGCAGGCUUAACACAUGCAAGUCGAGCGCCCCGCAAGGGGAGCGGCAGACGGGUGAGUAACACGUGGGAACGUGCCCUUUGGUCUGGAACAACCCAGGGAAACUUGGGCUAAUACCGGAUACGUCCGUAAGGAGAAAGAUUUAUCGCCAAAGGAGCGGCCCGCGUCUGAUUAGCUAGUUGGUGAGGUAAUGGCUCACCAAGGCUACGAUCAGUAGCUGGUCUGAGAGGAUGAUCAGCCACAUUGGGACUGAGACACGGCCCAAACUCCUACGGGAGGCAGCAGUGGGGAAUAUUGGACAAUGGGCGCAAGCCUGAUCCAGCCAUGCCGCGUGAGUGAUGAAGGCCCUAGGGUUGUAAAGCUCUUUCGGCGGGGAAGAUAAUGACGGUACCCGCAGAAGAAGCCCCGGCUAACUUCGUGCCAGCAGCCGCGGUAAUACGAAGGGGGCUAGCGUUGCUCGGAAUCACUGGGCGUAAAGCGCACGUA